CUACGGAUGGUGCGAGCGUUGUUCGGAAUUACUGGGCGUAAAGGGCGCGCAGGCGGCGAUGUAAGUCAAAUGUGAAAGUCCUCGGCUUAACCGGGGAAGUGCAUCUGAAACUGCAUUGCUUGAGUAUGGGAGAGGAAAGUGGAAUUCCCGGUGUAGAGGUGAAAUUCGUAGAGAUCGGGAGGAAUACCGGUGGCGAAGGCGACUUUCUGGACCAAUACUGACGCUGAGGCGCGAAAGCGUGGGGAGCAAACAGGAUUAGAAACCCUAGUAGUCC
This 274-nucleotide ribosomal RNA is filed under the name uncultured bacterium. Its description in RNAcentral is "partial 16S ribosomal RNA". It matches the Rfam family "Bacterial small subunit ribosomal RNA", at positions 523 to 796 of the family's 1533-position model. The record is from RNAcentral.